ACUUACCCUUUUUCCCCUUCUCUUUCCCUUCUUCUUUCUUUUCCCCCUCCAUUCCUCUGGAGAUGGGCGCACAGCUGCGGGGAGCUCCUCGGGGGAACGGCGGUGAGCUCCCCCGGGCGAGCUCACGGGGGCAGCAGUUGGGCGAGGCUGCGACGGUGGAGUGGCGCGGCUGGGCGGGGCUACGGAAGCGCUGCGAGGUAGAGCGGAGGUGGCUCCGACCCUCAGGGGAGCGACGCGGUGGGGAGGUGCGGCGGCGGGCUCCCCGGGGCCGACCUCCGCCAGCGGCGGCGGCGUUAGCGGGCUCGCCGGGACUGAGCUCCUCGAGCGGCGAUGGCGGCAGCUGGGGCCGAGCUCCGCCCCAUGGAUCUAGUCAUGCCGAGGGCGCCCCCCCCCCCCCCCCCCGCGGUGCCGCUCGCCGUCGGGGAGGCGGCUCGACGGCUGUGCCUGAUGCGCGCUGCUGAUGUGGUGGUGGGAGCGGCGGUGGCGGCGUUGGCGUUGAGCUCGGAUCACGGGGUGCGGCCGUUGGAGUGCAGCUGUGCGAGUAGGACCUCCGAGCGGGGCCGCUAGAUCCGCUAGGCGGAGUGUUGGAUCUUACUCGCUGGAGAGGCAGCAUCCAGGGAGAGCCAUGUGAGUGGCUGUGCGCAGCGUUCCAUUGGGAGCGACGGCAUGGCUCUUCAACGGGGUGUGCUGAUGCCCGAGUGGAGAAGCAUGGGGACAUGGCAACGAGUGGUGGAGCGGAGCAGUGUGGUGAAUGGCUUGCGUCCGGGCAGUCUGGAGGAGAUCAUUUAUCUGAGUGCAGCGCAGGAAGAAUACAGACUUGCAAUAAGCUUGUUUAAUUACCUCUUGAUUCCGGUUGUCAGAAGUGAUCAUGACCCAUUACUUACUCAAGCUGGCUUGCUCCUGUUCUGAUUCAAAAUUGGUUGGAGCUUUUGAGCUCCAUCAGACAAUGAUGGGGAUACAGAGCUUUAUGCUACAAAGGUCUCACCUACCGGCGGCCCUUCUAAUGAUAUCCUUAUUUAUAUUUUUUGUGUAGUAUACCAGUUACAAAACAGUUUUUUGUUUUCCUUUUUUUGUCUCUGAUUUCUCUUGCAGACUUUCACAACAAAGUUAUCUAUACCCAAGUCCAUUUCAGUAGCUCAUUCACUAAACUCUCAUCAAAGAAAUCUUGUCAAAAGCAUUGGAUUCCAUCAUCUUCUUGAUUUAGGAUGCACCUCCACACCAAAAUCUCUGAUCAUGUGGCUUGCAAACCAUUUCAAUGUUGUUACCAGAACAUUUAUUUUCCCAAAUGGCUACAAGUUCACAUUAUGUUCUGAAAACAUUCAUCAAGUCUUUGGCAUUCCAUUAGGUGGAUCAUCAAUUCCAAACAUUUGUACUGAAGAUAUCAAACAAAUGAUAUUGGAAGAAAAAAAAUGUUCUUCUAAAUAUCCCAGCAGUAAUGAGUUAAAAGAUCUCAUUACUGCUGAUUUUGUGGGUGACAAAUUCAAAAAGAUUUUCACCCUUUUUGCUGUGUCAACCUUUUUGUGCCCAACUACCAGUGAUCUUGCUAGUCGUCAAUAUUUUCCAUAGGUUGCAAAUCCUGAAACUAUAAGCUCUUAUGAUUGGUGCACCACAGUCCUUGACAAGCUUGCCUAAUCUAUUGCUAAGUUUCAGCAGGCAACUAAUAGUUGUGGCAUAGCUUCGCUUGGAGGUUGCACAUCUGCAUUGAUGGUUGUCUACUUUGAGCUACUUGACAUAUCAGAAGUCUCUUUUCCUAAUUUCUUGCCACGCAUAAGUUUAUGGACAAAUGAUAACAUAUCCAUUGCCAUAAACGCUGAUAGAUUAAUUGAAGACAGUAAUCUUUUUGGCCGAGCAUCUAUGAAAGAUAUGAGUAACAUAGCAUUAACAAAAAAUCACAAUAAACGCAUAUUCAUCGACACAUUCUCUUAUCUGGAAGUCAUUUUAAAGUCAAUACUAUCAGGCCAAGUCUUUAGUAAUGUCAGGGAACAACUUCAGUCAUCAUAUCAUAUUUUGUGGAAUGAUCUAAUCUCUGCAACCAGGCCGGUAUUACUUUCUCAGAUCAUCAAAUCUGUGGCAAGUAUAAAGGAAAUAACAGACAAUACAGUAUUCACUUCCCCAAACUUGUUGCAAAAUGAUAGCACAGCUGACAAACAGUUGCUAGUGACAAACAUAUCACCUCCUUCCAAGUCAGGCAUUGUGACUUUGAGCAAAGUCUACAAAGAUCCUGAAAUUGGAGACACACCCUGCAGAAUUGCUGGUACAAAUAAAAUAAAAGAUGCCCCCCCCCCCCCCCCCCCCCCCCCCAAAAAAAAGACAGCAGCAUCUUUCCUGAGAUCCCUGUACUAAAUGUAAUUGACAUUCACCAAGAUGAAAAGGAAGUGUUUGAAAUGGUUGUUCAGAGCCUGGAAGCAAUGAAUAUAUCUGAUGGUUAUGAUAUUCAUAUUGAGGAACAAUUCUACAUGGAUGAGUUGUACAACUCUAUCUUCGGAAAUAUGGAUCAAUGCAAAUUAUUGCAUCGAGACCCAGUAAACAUCAACCAGUUGGCAUUGUCAUUUGCAAACCUCCCACCACCCAGCCACCAACUUGAUUCAAUGUCAAAAAAAGCAAAUAUCAAAGAAAAAAGUCUAAAUAUCAGCUUGCAACCAAGAGGUAGAGCUGACAACAUCACACCACAGACUUCUAUUGGUGUAGUACCUUUAAAGAAGAGACCUCUGCCUUCAUUUCUCAACCACACACCCAGCUUUGAAAUUCAUGACCAAUCCAUUGCUUAUGCUAAUGUAAAGGGGUCAUGCUCUCUGAAUGAACUUCUGCUCAAAAGAAUCAGUACUUUACAAGCUGCUGGAGAAAAGGAACUUGAGUUCGUUUCACCUCAUGAAAGAAAGAGCAAAUCUGAAAUGAGCACAUAUAUGUUCACUUGCAACACACAAAAUGUUGUACCAGAACAAACAGAAUUAGCAAGUGUCAGUACAGAAGAUUUCAAUGAAGGAAGGGAUGUUUAUUCUGACCAAGUUUUAUGUGAUUAGUCUGACCCGAAUAGUAAUGACCCAAAUUUUGUAAACUACCGGACUGGUCCUAAACAUCCAAGUGCAAGUACCACGGAAUUCAAAGGAGUCGACAAGAGUGCAGUGAAUAAUAAUGAUUAUGAUUUCUGGCAUGAGGACUUAGUAAGGCGAUUCGAUGAAUCUGUUGAAACUGCAAAAAGUUCUCAGCAGUCAGCACACACAUGAAACAAACCAAAUACCAUUGAGGCCAACCAUCUUCUACCAUAUUUUUUCAUCAACUGCUGUAGAAAGGGUUGUGCACCAGUACAUUGUAAGCAAUAUUCCAGCACCCCCACCAGCUAGAAGGUUUCUCUGACUUUAUGGACUUUCCUCCUCCACAUCCUUUUUUGCCUUUAUUCUGAUUAAUCGUUUCAUUAAUAGUUUUCAUUUUUCAGCCCUAAGAUUAUAAAGAUGGUAAAAAAAAUUGGGUCGAUCAUCGUACAUUUCGUCUUUCAAUGCAAGUUUAUGGACCCAUAUCACACCAUGUCAUGAAUAUUAUGGGUGUAGCUGUUAUGGAAGCUCAAUAUACAAAGCAUCUCCGUGGUUUGCUUUUACCUAGAUGAAUGGGUGAAAUUCAUAUUGCACUCUGAACUUUCUACGUUAUUACAGGAUCCUCAACUAAAAGCAAAUGAAAUAUCCAGUUGCCUUGCUGAAAAGGGAAUUGGUUUUCGUCUUCAUAACGCAGAUUUGGUUCUCAUUCCUCUGCGCAAAAACUCGUACUGGUAUCUUGUUGUAGCAAACUUCAGAGAUCACAGAAAGUUUUCAAGGCUGUACAUCCCAGAUCAACCAGAGUUCACAUAUAUAGUUUGCCAACAGCUUUUGGAAGUGUUUCAAACUACAACAACCAGAUCAUGCAAAGGCAAAGAAUCAUUGACUUAUUAUCUUUGCACACAUGAGGAAAAUGAGGUUGUACCACAUGAGGUAAAGAACAUAGCGCAACAACAUGGUAUAUUUUAAAAACAACACUGAAGGGAGAAGAAAAAGGCAUUGGUAAAAAUUGUAAUAAGGAUCAGCAGAAGAAAUACAGAUACUAGUUUCUAAAACCACACUAUGUAUUCUGAUAUAUUUCUUUCCAAUGUCACUAUACUGUAUUUGCCAGAGUUUUUGUUUACUGUGUGUUAGUGCAUAUAUUGACGUUUUUUGUUUUGAUCCUA
Molecule: long non-coding RNA, 4192 nt
Organism: Panicum virgatum (switchgrass)
Lineage: Eukaryota; Viridiplantae; Streptophyta; Magnoliopsida; Poales; Poaceae
Exons: 11
Source: RefSeq, a predicted model, not a curated record